RNAcentral lists this ribosomal RNA (270 nucleotides) under uncultured bacterium. RNAcentral's name for it is "partial 16S ribosomal RNA". It matches the Rfam family "Bacterial small subunit ribosomal RNA", at positions 337 to 599 of the family's 1533-position model. The record is from RNAcentral.
ACCUACGGGGGGCAGCAGUAGGGAAUCUUCCACAAUGGACGAAAGUCUGAUGGAGCAACGCCGCGUGAGUUAAGAAGGGUUUCGGCUCGUAAAGCUCUGUUGGUGGUGAAGAAAGAUAGAGGUAGUAACUGGCCUUUAUUUGACGGUAAUUACUUAGAAAGUCACGGCUAACUACGUGCCAGCAGCCGCGGUAAUACGUAGGUGGCAAGCGUUGUCUGGAUUUAUUGGGCGUAAAGCGAGUGCAGGCGGGUCAAUUAGACUGGUGUGAAA